UGGGGAAUAUUGCACAAUGGGCGAAAGCCUGAUGCAGCAACGCCGCGUGAGUGAUGAAGGUCUUCGGAUUGUAAAGCUCUGUCUUUUGGGACGAUAAUGACGGUACCAAAGGAGGAAGCCACGGCUAACUACGUGCCAGCAGCCGCGGUAAUACGUAGGUGGCGAGCGUUGUCCGGAUUUACUGGGCGUAAAGGGUGCGUAGGCGGAUGUUUAAGUGAGAUGUGAAAUACCCGGGCUUAACUUGGGUGCUGCAUUUCAAACUGGAUAUCUAGAGUGCAGGAGAGGAGAAUGGAAUUCCUAGUGUAGCGGUGAAAUGCGUAGAGAUUAGGAAGAACACCAGUGGCGAAGGCGAUUCUCUGGACUGUAACUGACGCUGAGGCACGAAAGCGUGGGUAGCAAACAGGAUUAGAUACCCUGGUAGUCCACGCCGUAAAACGAUGAGUACUAGGUGUAGGAGGUAUCGACCCCUUCUGUGCCGCAGUAAACACAUUAAGUACUCCGCCUGGGAAGUACGAUCGCAAGAUUAAAACUCUAAAGUGAAUUGAC
RNAcentral lists this ribosomal RNA (546 nucleotides) under uncultured bacterium. Its description in RNAcentral is "partial 16S ribosomal RNA". It matches the Rfam family "Bacterial small subunit ribosomal RNA", at positions 355 to 914 of the family's 1533-position model. The record is from RNAcentral.